RNAcentral lists this unclassified non-coding RNA (216 nucleotides) under soil metagenome. RNAcentral's name for it is "partial contains 5.8S ribosomal RNA, internal transcribed spacer 2, and large subunit ribosomal RNA". The record is from RNAcentral.
AACGGUCUAUACCUGCGGUACCUGCGGAAGGAUCAUUACCGAGUUUACAACUCCCAAACCCAUGUGAACAUACCUAUUGUUGCUUCGGCGGGAUUGCCCCGGGCGCCUCGUGUGCCCCGGAUCAGGCGCCCGCCUAGGAAACUUAACUCUUGUUUUAUUUUGGAAUCUUCUGAGUAGUUUUUACAAAUAAAUAAAAACUUUCAACAACGGAUCUCU